RNAcentral lists this ribosomal RNA (251 nucleotides) under uncultured bacterium. Its description in RNAcentral is "partial 16S ribosomal RNA". It matches the Rfam family "Bacterial small subunit ribosomal RNA", at positions 524 to 776 of the family's 1533-position model. The record is from RNAcentral.
UACGUAGGGGCGAGCGUUGUCCGGAAUUAUUGGGCGUAAAGAGCGUGUAGGCGGUUCGGUAAGUCUGCCGUGAAAUCCUGGGGCUCAACCCCGGCGUGCGGUGGAUACUGCCGGGCUAGAGGGUGGUAGAGGCGAGUGGAAUUCCCGGUGUAGCGGUGAAAUGCGUAGAUAUCGUAAGGAAGACCAGUGGCGAAGGCAGCUCGCUGGGACGUUACUGACGCUGAGACGCGAAAGCGUGGGGAGCAAACAGG